Molecule: transfer RNA, 71 nt
Filed under: Candidatus Vogelbacteria bacterium
Lineage: Bacteria; Candidatus Vogeliibacteriota
Description: tRNA-Gly
Rfam family: tRNA
About the family: Transfer RNA (tRNA) molecules are approximately 80 nucleotides in length.
Source: RNAcentral
GCGGGAUUGGUUCAAUGGCAGAACACGUCCUUCCCAAGGAUGAGACAUGGGUCCGAUUCCCAUAUCCCGCA